GCUUCGGAAGCUACUGUAGCGUUAGGCUUUUAACCUGGAGAAGUGGAAUACGUUUCACCCGAGGCA
This 66-nucleotide transfer RNA is filed under the name Dicyathifer mannii. Its description in RNAcentral is "tRNA-Lys". The record is from RNAcentral. Lineage: Eukaryota; Metazoa; Mollusca; Bivalvia; Myida; Teredinidae.